UACGUAGGGUGCGAGCGUUGUCCGGAAUUAUUGGGCGUAAAGGGCUCGUAGGCGGUUUGUCGCGUCGGGAGUGAAAACACUGGGCUUAACUCAGUGCUUGCUUCCGAUACGGGCAGACUAGAGGUAUGCAGGGGAGAACGGAAUUCCUGGUGUAGCGGUGAAAUGCGCAGAUAUCAGGAGGAACACCGGUGGCGAAGGCGGUUCUCUGGGCAUUACCUGACGCUGAGGAGCGAAAGCGUGGGGAGCAAACAGG
Molecule: ribosomal RNA, 253 nt
Filed under: uncultured bacterium
Lineage: Bacteria
Description: partial 16S ribosomal RNA
Rfam family: Bacterial small subunit ribosomal RNA
Source: RNAcentral